CUAGAUUCGCUUAUGCAUGAAAUAUGCCUAAACAUUUUGUAUUUUAUAAAACUUCAAAUUUUCAAGAAAUGAAACAAUUUUCUGGAAGAACACCUUUAGCUUGUUGAUAUAAAUGAAAAACAGUAAAGAUAAUACGUCUGUUCCGUGCAAUAAAAUACGCUUGAAGUAAGGGCUAAAACCCGUUUUCCGGUAUUUUGUAUCAGUUUUCGACGAUAAAUUGAAAAAUUUGAAUAGGGCACAGGUCUCGACCAAAAAACAAAAUACGUCAUUGUCAUUGUGAGUAUUUAUAAUUUACAAAAACGUAUCAAUAAUUUUGGUCGAGGCCUGUGCCCUUUACGAAAAUUUAUAUUUUCCUUCCCUUGGUGUCUGUGCAAAAGCAAAUCGAAUGCAUAGAAGAUCAAAGAUUUAAGCUGUAUUUUUAUAAAUUUUUACUUGUUUUUGCGGUCAAGCAUUGAGAUCGAAAAGCAAUUAUCAUUAGUCAAAUAAAAUAUGUCUUCUUUUCUGUCAUGUUUUGUUAACUUAUUGAAUGAAAAGUGAAAAUCCAGGCGAUGAUGACAACGACGACGACACAACAACAACAAAGCCAUUGUUUACACUUUACCUAGUAAAUCUAUACUACUGUAACGCUGACAGGGUUUAAAACAGUCAAACGUUUGUUUGUUUAUUUUGUGAGCAUUUAUUCUCGGAUCUAGGAAUGUAUUCCAGUCCAGAUAUGACUUUGUGAUAACCGUGACAGGGAGUUUCCAAUUGUGGCGAUGGCGUAGUGGUCUAAGUGCCCGGCGUAUGAUCGUUUUAUAUGACUGAUCAGUUCCGUCUGGUGGUUCGACCCCUGAACGAGGAUGCCUGGAUCGGGUCCAAAGUUUUAUGCCUGUGCGGUGUGCAAGAAAAGAACUAAACCAAAAGAAAGAAGACACAUAAGCAAACCUAUAAGAAAAUAUCUUCAAACACGGUUAUUUGUUGAUGUUAAGACAAUGAAAUAAUUUGUAACAAAUGUAGACAUAAAUACUAUGCAUUAGAAUCAUCAUCUUUUACAAGAAAAAACAACAACCAGUCAGAUCCAGAUUAUGUUCCACCUGUUUCAACUUCUCAAUCAAAGGGAACAAAAACACCGACUAGUCCGCCAUCGGUAUCAUUAAAUAUAAAAAAUACCAGUAAAACACAUUCAAGAUGAUUAGUCUGCAAAAGACCAGGGCCAAAAUUAGUUGUUCUGUCUUCAGAGGCCAGAUUCAAUGUGUUUAUAGAACAUAACCUACUCAUACCUGCUGGUUCUAUGUGCUGUCCAGUACACAUACAUGAAGGCCUGCUUUGUUCAGAUUUCUUAGAGAAUGUGCCGAUAAUAGAAACAGCAUUUCUAAACAGGACAUCUGUCCUAAAACUUAUAAAACAUUUAAGAGAAAUAUGCUGCUACAAACAAAACAAAUUGAAUUUUGAUGUCUUAAACGACGUAGAAUAUGAAAACUUAACAGGGCUUUCACGUUCUCAGUUUGAUGAUGUUUUUCGUCAUGUUGCCGACAAAAUUCUUACGAAAUCGGGCUUGUCAAAUAAGCUUUUGUCUACUCUAUUUGGAAUAAGCAAGUCAAGUGUACGGAGAGCGAUUGUUGCCACAAAACAUGCGAUGAUGAGAGGAUUUGUGCCGUUAUAUCUUGGUUUUGAAAGCAUAACAAGGGAAGAUAUUAUAAACCAUCACACUAGACCGUUAGCCAAGUCUCUUUUUGAUGCAAAUGAUGGGAAAGUUAUUUUAGUUCUUGGUGGAACUUAUGUUUAUAUUCAGAAAAGUAAUAAUUUUAGCUUUCAAAGACGUUCAUAUUCAAUGCACAAAGCUCGUCCAUUAGUGAAGCCCAUGGUUAUUGUCACAACAACCGGAUACUUUGUUACAGUGAUGGGCCCUUAUUUUGCUGAUUCAAAGAACAAUGAUGCUUCUAUCCUGAAUCAUAUGUUGAAAACAAGUACUGAAGAGAUAAGGGACUUUAUUCAGGAGUUCAGGAGGAUGAUAUUUUCGUUGUCGAGAGAGGUUUCCGAUAUACAUUGAAUUAUUUCUUAUUUAAUAUAACAUUAUUGUAAAAGUUGGAAAUCAUAUUGUUUAAAUCACAAAACUUCUUUUAAAGUUCAAUGAAAAUUAUUGGCAUUCAGCUUAUAUUAAGUACGCUUUUUUAUUUUCCUCACCGUUACACACUAUAAUAGUCCUCGUUCAGACUAUAUUUUUUUUCAGACCGCUGACGUCAUCGUAAAUAGGUAAUAGAAAGAGCACCGAAACACGAGGCUAUCUGAUUUGUACGAGGGGGCGUAGCCCCCGAGUAUAAAAACGAUUGCCGAGUGUUUUGGUGUUCUUUCUCUUUUGUAUCAUAGUCAAACAUAAAAACACGUUCCCUGUUGUCACAAUUUUAAACCCCGGUAAAAAGUAACCAAUGAUCGAGCAUCUGAAUAUGAUAUUUCUGCCGCUUUCCCUUUCUCUGCCGUCACAAUAUGUAAACCCCAGCAAAAAUGAGCCAAUCAACGGGCAUGAUCUGGAGUGCGGGUAACUGAUACCUGCACUCCAGUUACCGCACUGUGCAUGUAUAUGUAUACGAUUUAACUCUGACACUUUUUCAACAGAAAGGUCCCCAAACUAUGAUACAAUAUACUUUUAAAGGCCCCUUUAUGUACCCGAAAUGCAAUACUUUCAUUUUUAUUUCUCAAAAUAUUUUUUAGUUUCAAACAAGUUACUCAUUGGUCUUCUUCAUUUGUUACUUUCAGGCAAUAAGUACAUAUAUAAUAACUUAGUAAUUUGUAUUGAAGUCAAAAUAUUACUUGUUUUCAUUACUUUUUUUCAUUGCUACAUUAAUGACAUAGUAGUAUAUUAACCGGUCUUUUGUUUAGGUAACAAGCAUGUUACAUGCUCUAAACCAUUAUUUAAAAGGUAUAAAAACAUCUUUGAUCUUUUAAAAAAAGGUAAAUAUUAUUCAUUUGUGAGUCAUACUGUGCCUUUAACAGGCCGCUGACAAAACAUAUUCAUGUUAGGCAUGAUAUUGAUAGAAUAGUACCAUAGAUACCAUAGACAGGUGAAAUACUUCAUAUCUUGACAAUCGCUUUACAUAAUAUUGACUUGUUAGUGUUUCAUUUCCACAUUAGUCCUCGUUUUUGAAACAUAAGGCUAGUCAUUAGUUAUUAUGAAAUUAAUCGAGGUUGUUGAUGUAUUUGAGAAGAGACAAGUUUAGAUUUUUAAAUGUUGUGAUGAAUGAGAUUGUAAUAAAAUAUUUGUUGCAUCCUAAACAUGCUGUAAUAUUUUAUUUGAUACUUUUCUAGACAUUUGAAUAUUAAUAGUUAUAAGUGGCAAAAUGCAAUGAUUUUGUUACUGCGUUAUUUAGAAUGUCUUGAAUGUUAUAAAAUAUAUUUAACGUUUUACUCUAACUUUUCGGCCUUUUCCGUCAUUCUUCGGAUAAGACUACGUGUAUUUAUGAAACAUUGCCGACAUGUUCCGAUUGAUGUAAUAUCUGUUUCUGCAUCUUAAGUGAUUCUAUGUUUGCUUAAAAAGAAAUAUAAGCUAAUUAUGUAGUUAUUAUGUUUAAGUUGUACUAACUAUAUAUUUAAAAACAACAUCAAAGUUUAUUGCCGUAAACUAUAUGCAGAAAAUUUAUACAUGUAUGUGCAUGCAAAUUCUAUUGCAUAUUUUUGAAAAUCUUUGUGGUCGUUAAAUGUAAAUAGAUUUUCUUCAGAAUAAAAGAUGGACACUAUCCAAUAGUUUCAUGCAGCAGUAAUUUGAAUGUCACACCUGUUAUAAAGUAUGCUAGAUUGUUUAUUUUGUGUGAUGGGCAUUUUGAGGGAUCACCUUAUUAUUUUUAUUUCGUUUUGUUUAUAAUUCUGUAUUGUUAGAUGAUGAAUUCAUGUCAGUUUACGUAGCUGUUACACUAAAGUAAAUGAUUCAGUGUGUAACAUAACUUUAUCACAUAUCACAUGCCGCUUUUGCUGUUACAGUAAAAUAGUAUUGCACGGCAGGGCAUAUAUUUUGACGUGUCGUCCUUUGCGUUAUAGGAUCAUAGCGUAAAGACGCAUGAAAUGUUAGCGUUACACUAUAAGUGUGUCAAUGAAAAAAUAAUACUAUUUUUGACUGUAAACAAUUUUCAUCUUUGACAUGUGAUAAACAGUUUAUUAUGUAAAUAAAUAAUUCAUUUAACACCUCCCGUCAUUGAAAUAGAUUACGUAAACUGAACAAGUUUGUUUUCAUUUAUGUUUCAUUCAUUUUAAAGUGAAUAUUGUGUUUUUAUAAUAUUUAAGUAAAUGAAAGAAACAAUUUUUUUUCUCUCCGUAACUGAAAAGAGAUUUAUGAGUCAUAUACCAGCGUUUCAUAUUACAAAUAUCAAUAUGACGUUACGGCGUCGUUGAUUGAUGUUGCAAUUUUGACGUCAAAAUACGUUACAAUGGGGUCAAGUAUAGAGCCUAAAAAAUUGAAAAAUUAGAAAAAAUGAUACAAAAAUCAACAAAAACCUACUUGGGACAUAUUUUUAUGUCAUAUGCUCAAGUUUUAUCAAAAUUAAAAUUUGGGCCGAUUUUCACUAUAUUUGAACACACUC
Long non-coding RNA from Ruditapes philippinarum (Manila clam), 4547 nucleotides. RefSeq lists it as uncharacterized. The transcript is spliced from 3 exons. The record is from RefSeq and is a predicted model, not a curated record. NCBI's taxonomy places the organism in Eukaryota, Metazoa, Mollusca, Bivalvia, Venerida, Veneridae.